AGGGUUUGAUCAUGGCUCAGGAUGAACGCUAGCGGCAGGCCUAACACAUGCAAGUAGAACGGUAACAGGGAGAGCUUGCUCUCCGCUGACGAGUUGCGAACGGGUGCGUAACGCGUAUGCAACCUACCCAUAACAGGGGGAUAGCCCAUAGAAAUGUGGAUUAAUACCCCAUAACAUCAUAGAUUGGCAUCAUGACAUGAUUAAAACUCCGGUGGUUAUGGAUGGGCAUGCGUGACAUUAGCUAGUUGGUGAGGUAACUGCUCACCAAGGCGACGAUGUCUAGGGGUUCUGAGAGGAUGAUCCCCCACACUGGUACUGAGACACGGACCAGACUCCUACGGGAGGCAGCAGUGAGGAAUAUUGCGCAAUGGAGGAAACUCUGACGCAGCCAUGCCGCGUGCAGGAAGACUGCCCUAUGGGUUGUAAACUGCUUUUAUAUAGGAAGAACUACAGCUACGUGUAGCUGUUUGACGGUACUAUACGAAUAAGGACCGGCUAACUCCGUGCCAGCCGCCGCGGUAAUAC
This 525-nucleotide ribosomal RNA is filed under the name uncultured bacterium. RNAcentral's name for it is "bacterial SSU rRNA". It matches the Rfam family "Bacterial small subunit ribosomal RNA", at positions 8 to 526 of the family's 1533-position model. The record is from RNAcentral.